This is a long non-coding RNA of Quercus lobata, 441 nucleotides long. RefSeq lists it as uncharacterized. The record is from RefSeq and is a predicted model, not a curated record. NCBI's taxonomy places the organism in Eukaryota, Viridiplantae, Streptophyta, Magnoliopsida, Fagales, Fagaceae. The transcript is spliced from 2 exons.
CUUAAUAGUACCAUGGCCAUCAUCAUCCAUUACAUAUAGCCUUUCUUUUUCUUACAGCUUCAAACUCAAGAAAGGAAGAACCCCACUUUUACUCAUUACUCUCUCAUCAAAUUGUCACCACCCCACCCAAAUAACCAUAAUUAUUUACUUUAUUUCUUGUUACUCUUCUGAACACACGUCCUUUUCUCUUAUUCUUUUGCUGCUGCCUGGUGAUGGUGUUAAACCAUAAACUUUCACUCUAGCCUUUGUGAGAUCAGUCUCUUGAGUUUCUCAGGGACAAGAAAAAUACUUGAAAUUGGUUACGGGGUUCUGAGUUCAUGAACAUGCAGUGUUUCUGGGUUGGCUUCCUUCUUUUCUGUGGCUUUUUCGUUGUUGGUUUUUGUGACCAAGAUGGUUUUUUGAGCAUAUCUUGUGGUGGAAAUACUAGUUAUAUUGAUUCAU